ACGGGAGGCAGCAGUGGGGGAUAUUGGUCAAUGGGCGCAAGCCUGACCCAGCAAUGCCGCGUGAAGGAAGAAGGCUUUCGGGUUGUAAACUUCUUUUAAGUGGGACGAUAAUGACGGUACCACUUGAAUAAGCUCCGGCUAACUACGUGCCAGCAGCCGCGGUAAUACGUAGGGAGCAAGCGUUAUCCGGAUUUACUGGGUGUAAAGGGCGUGUAGGCGGGGCGACAAGUCAGAUGUGAAAGCCCGGGGCUCAACUCCGUGACUGCAUUUGAAACUGCAGUGCUUGAGUGCUGGAGAGGUUAGCGGAAUUCCUAGUGUAGCGGUGAAAUGCGUAGAUAUUAGGAGGAACACCAGUGGCGAAGGCGGUUAGCUGGACAGUAACUGACGCUGAGGCGCGAAAGCGUGGGGAGCAAACAGGAUUAGAUACCCUGGUA
The sequence is a ribosomal RNA, 434 nucleotides long. It matches the Rfam family "Bacterial small subunit ribosomal RNA", at positions 341 to 792 of the family's 1533-position model.